UUUUUGAUGAUUGAUAAUGGAGAUAUUGUUGAUAAUGUGAUUUUACAAAAUGGCGCGUAGAUGACGUCACGAUGACCGUUUGACGGUAAACUUGUUUCGUACACAUCGCAUGAUAACUGUCCACAUUUGAUAAUAUUUUGAUGAAAAUUGAUUGAAUAGUUUUGAUGAUUUUGGUGGAACAAGAAAAGGGUGGAAAAAGAAAAAUAAACUAGAAUUUUAAUUCGUCUUACGGACGAAUUAGGUGAUCUGUCUGUGAAUCUCAUGAUUAUGAUCUAUUUUUUAUAAUGAUCACCAUGUCAAUGCAGAUCAAUAUGAGCAUCAUGAUAUUAAGCGCAGUUUUAUUAAUGAAAGGACAUGUUGAAUACUGUUGAAAGACAUUAUUUGAAAGAAAAGUUUGUAAAAAAAACUUCUUUUCUAAAGAAUGACAAUUCAAAUUUAGCAAGUGAUAACACGAAAUAGUGAGCAGUGGUGAUGAAAGCAAGAAUCUAGAAUCCAGUUUUGAAAAAUUUAAAUCAGUAUCCAUAGACUAGAUUUUUGGUUACCUCAUGAACAAUCAUGACCAAAUGACCUUUUAUUUCUUACAUUACGAUAGGUAGAUUUCAUUGCAAGAUAUUAUGCAAGCAUGUCUUACAUAGCAGGAUGGAGAAAUUGCAUAGACCAAGUGAAUAGAAAGCAAAGCAAUGAACACUGAUGGAGGUAUUUGGAAUGCGUUCAGCAUGUUUUUAUAACAAUACUUGGCCAACUCUGAAAUACCAGUUGCUAGUACACGUAUUGUUGUUUUUAUGCGUGUAUUAAAACGCACAAUUCAAAAGAAAAAUCAAGACAUCAAGGUUGUUGCUAAUAUCUCAUUAAAUAUAAAACAGUCAUGUCACUUUAGUACGAAUGAACUUCUUAUCAUGCGCAGAAUGGAACCCCAAACUGGCUUAUGGGGGUUACACGCAAAAUAAGACAAAACUUAAUAAAUAAAAAAAUAGAUCCUGAUGGGUUUCGAUCCAGGGACCCUCGCAUUACAAGGCAGAUGCACUAACCAUUCGACCACAGUAACUGCCAUGCGCUUUCAAGGCAACGAUGAAAUAUAACCUCAAAUUGAAUUUUUCAAGUGCAAGUUUUAUCAUAAUGAUAUACUUUUAUACAUUGUUAAUAUUUAUGAUGAUCUCUUGCUUAAAAUGAUAAGAUUGUAAAAUAAUUUGGAAGAAUAUAAAACCAGCUACAAUAUGUAGAAAACCAGGCUUAAAAACGACCAAUGAUUACGGAGUUAUA
Lytechinus variegatus (green sea urchin) is the source of this 1260-nucleotide long non-coding RNA. RefSeq lists it as uncharacterized. Lineage: Eukaryota; Metazoa; Echinodermata; Echinoidea; Temnopleuroida; Toxopneustidae. The transcript is spliced from 2 exons. The record is from RefSeq and is a predicted model, not a curated record.